AUACUUACCUGGCAGGGGAGAUACCAUGAUCACGAAGGUGGUUUUCCCAGGGCGAGGCUUAUCCAUUGCACUCCGGAUGUGCUGACCCCUGCGAUUUCCCCAAAUGUGGGAAACUCGACUGCAUAAUUUGUGGUAGUGGGGGACUGCG
Molecule: small nuclear RNA, 148 nt
Filed under: Suricata suricatta (meerkat)
Lineage: Eukaryota; Metazoa; Chordata; Mammalia; Carnivora; Herpestidae
Also listed under: 2 other names
Description: U1 spliceosomal RNA (ENSSSUG00005011133.1)
Rfam family: U1 spliceosomal RNA
About the family: U1 is a small nuclear RNA (snRNA) component of the spliceosome (involved in pre-mRNA splicing). Its 5' end forms complementary base pairs with the 5' splice junction, thus defining the 5' donor site of an intron.
Source: Rfam by way of RNAcentral